This 325-nucleotide ribosomal RNA is filed under the name uncultured eukaryote. RNAcentral describes it as "partial 18S ribosomal RNA". It matches the Rfam family "Eukaryotic small subunit ribosomal RNA", at positions 1470 to 1796 of the family's 1831-position model. The record is from RNAcentral.
CCCUUAGAUGUUCUGGGCCGCACGCGCGCUACACUGAUGCAUUCAACGAGCCUAUCCUUGACCGACAGGUCCGGGUAAUCUUUGAAUCUGCAUCGUGACGGGGGUAGAUUAUUGCAAUUAUUAAUCUUCAACGAGGAAUGCCUAGUAGGCGCAAGUCAUCAGCUUGCGUCGAUUACGUCCCUGCCCUUUGUACACACCGCCCGUCGCUCCUACCGAUUGGGUGUGCUGGUGAAAUGUUCGGAUCGGCCGUUUGUCGCGGUUUCCGCGUCAUGUGGCUGAGAAGUUCAUUAAACCCUCCCACCUAGAGGAAGGAGAAGUCGUAACA